AUUGAACGCUGGCGGCAUGCCUUACACAUGCAAGUCGAACGGUAACAGGUCUUCGGAUGCUGACGAGUGGCGAACGGGUGAGUAAUACAUCGGAACGUGCCCGAUCGUGGGGGAUAACGAAGCGAAAGCUUUGCUAAUACCGCAUAGGAUCUACGGAUGAAAGCAGGGGACCGCAAGGCCUUGCGCGAACGGAGCGGCCGAUGGCAGAUUAGGUAGUUGGUGGGAUAAAAGCUUACCAAGCCGACGAUCUGUAGCUGGUCUGAGAGGACGACCAGCCACACUGGGACUGAGACACGGCCCAGACUCCUACGGGAGGCAGCAGUGGGGAAUUUUGGACAAAGGGCGAAAGCCUGAUCCAGCCAUGCCGCGUGCAGGAUGAAGGCCUUCGGGUUGUAAACUGCUUUUGUACGGAACGAAAAGACUCUGGUUAAUACCUGGGGUCCAUGACGGUACCGUAAGAAUAAGCACCGGCUAACUACGUG
Molecule: ribosomal RNA, 482 nt
Filed under: uncultured bacterium
Lineage: Bacteria
Description: partial 16S ribosomal RNA
Rfam family: Bacterial small subunit ribosomal RNA
Source: RNAcentral